Long non-coding RNA from Cyanistes caeruleus (blue tit), 2049 nucleotides. The record is from Ensembl. NCBI's taxonomy places the organism in Eukaryota, Metazoa, Chordata, Aves, Passeriformes, Paridae.
AUGCUGAAUUUACACAUGAAAAACGGAGCGAACACAAGACAAUCACUAUCACAGGUUAACAAACACUUCACAGCGCAAAGAGAAACUCAGCAGAUGCCAUCCUCAAUUAGCCCAAAAGGAAGCGUCAAUGGCCUCACAUGUUGGGCAGCUUCAGGAGGGUUUCUGUCAGCAGCCCAGCAGAAAACCCCUGCGGGGAACGUUCAGCUAACGGCGGCGGCACUGUGACCCCCGGCUCCCAUCGACAGUGACAUCUCGCCGAUGGCAAGCUGUGUGAAAAAGGAACAGAAACAAUCAGGAGUCGCUUGAAGCGCUGCGGCAGAAAGGGCAAAGCUAAAGCCCUGUGUGCUAACCUAAAGGCUCGACAGGAGCCCCAGCAGGCCGUCUGUGCAGGUACCCUCGGGCAGCUGGGGACACUCGGGCUGUCCCACACCGAGGGGACGCUGCACGAGGCUGGGGCAGGACAGGGCAGAGGGACCCUGGCCCUGUGACAUGAGCUCUGACCCUUGGCACACCCGAGCCAAAUUUGAAUCGGCUUUUGGAUAACGUGCAGAGAAAACAAGUGUGAACGUGGCCCUUGUCAUCCGUGCGCAGCUGAGUGUAACAUAAUCUCUGGUGACACAAGCGGUUUAGGCAACUCUCUAAAAUAAUAUAUUGGUCUUAAGACAAGUAUUUUGUUGUAGAAAAUACCUCUCAUUUGGGUUGAAAUUUGCCUUCUAGUUUUUUGCAUCCUGCUUGGCUGAACCCAAGUUUUACUCAAUGAUUAACUUUGAAUUGCAGUAUGUUUGUCUGCUGGUUUAACUUCAGGAGAUUAACUGUCCUUUUCCCCAAAGUGAUAAAAGCGGGAAUACAGAAAUAAUGGUAAAUACCAUUUCCUUGCUAUCUAAAAGACUCUCAUCUUUAGCAGCCUAAGGGAAGGCAAGAACACGGAAUGAGAAAACCCUGGUGGCAAACUUCCAGAAAAAAAGUGAUCUGUAGUUAGCAAAGAGGGAUGUAUCUAUGAAAGAAAUCAUAUUUAUAUGAUUUUUACAAAGUCUUGCUAGUUUGGGUCCAGCACUGAGAGCCAGAGAACCCAGAAAAUAUAAAGUCUGAAAUAAUUUAGCCUCUACUGGGAAAUAUUCCAAAACUUCUUCCUUUAGGAUGGAUGUUCCUUUUUGGUUAGGAAAGAUGCUUACUGCACUUCCAGCUCCCACGUGUCUGUUCACCUUCACAACUGUCCUCUUCCCUCCAUGCCUCUCAGAAAAAGUUAACCAGUCCAUAAAAAGAUAACCCUUUCCUGCCAAGUUCUUCCAAAAUUGUUCUGCAUCGUCAGGGGCUGCGUGAAGACCAGCAGGAACCUUGCUGUUUAUUAACUAUAAUUAGUGUAUUUACUCAUUGUCCUUAACUGCUUUGAAAGUGGCUGAAAGGUGACUGUGUAACUCACACUAAACUAUUAUCACAACCAUCUUUAAGAAUUAUGUUUCAUUAGAUGUUACUUAACCAGAAUGAAGAAAUUCUUUAUUCACAGUCACACCUCCCUCUCUCCAAAGGACAACACAAGUGAGAUACAGCCCAGUCACCCUGGGCUAAGAUGAGCACACAUCAGCUAAAGAUUAGAUUAAUGAGCAUUAAUCAGGAGCCACCAAUCUGGCAUGACAUGGGGCUCUGUGGGAUAUCCUGGCCCGUCUUUGAGGUGUGGGACACACAAGCCCAAAGGGAAAUCACAACUUCCCUGGGUGCUGCACAGCCUCCCCUUCCCCUGAGACCAAGGUCCUUAACCUUUGUCUAACAAUGUGGCUGCUUUGUAAUCUUUUUGUUCAAUCCUAGCCUGUUCUCCUCCACUGAAAGGAAAGGAAAAAAGAAUAAGAAUGGUCCUUUUAAAAAACAAUCCAGCCCUAUUAAGUGGUACAAAGCCGUGCUUGCUAGCUCUGCUGCAGGAUGUUGAUCCCUCUCUGAGGCUGGUGAUGUGCAGCACUCCCUUCCCUGACGUGUGCAAGCCUAUCCAUUCAAAUUCUUGUAAAUGGACUCCUAUCUGCAUAUCCCACACAAUAAAAGCCCUGCUUGUGGUAUUCA